This 251-nucleotide ribosomal RNA is filed under the name uncultured prokaryote. Its description in RNAcentral is "partial 16S rRNA". It matches the Rfam family "Bacterial small subunit ribosomal RNA", at positions 525 to 775 of the family's 1533-position model. The record is from RNAcentral.
ACGGAGGGCGCGAGCGUUAUUCGGAAUUACUGGGUGUAAAGCGCGUGCAGGCGGGCAGGCACGCCCGUUGUGACAAUCCCGGGCUUAACCCGGGAAGUGCAUUGGAAACUGCCUUUCUUGAGUACUGGAGAGGUAGGGGGAAUUCCCUGGUUAGAGGUUUAAGUCGUAGUGAUCGGGAGGAAUAUGAGUGGCGAAGGCGCUCUUCUGGACGGAUACUGGCGGUGAGACGCGGAAGCGUGGGGAGCAAGCAG